RNAcentral lists this ribosomal RNA (323 nucleotides) under Curtobacterium sp. RNAcentral describes it as "partial 16S ribosomal RNA". The record is from RNAcentral. Lineage: Bacteria; Bacillati; Actinomycetota; Actinomycetes; Micrococcales; Microbacteriaceae.
ACUYUGGGAUAAGCGUUGGAAACGAMGUYUAAUACUGGAUAUGACUWCCGGCCGCAUGGUSUGGUGGUGGAAAGAUUUUUUGGUUGGGGAUGGACUCGCGGCCUAUCAGCUWGUUGGUGAGGUAAUGGCUCACCAAGGCGACSACGGGUAGCCGGCCUGAGAGGGUGACCGGCCACACUGGGACUGAGACACGGCCCAGACUCCUACGGGAGGCAGCAGUGGGGAAUAUUGCACAAUGGGCGAAAGCCUGAUGCAGCAACGCCGCGUGAGGGAUGACGGCCUUCGGGUUGUAAACCUCUUUUAGUAGGGAAGAAGCGAAWGUG